RNAcentral lists this ribosomal RNA (342 nucleotides) under Triticum aestivum (bread wheat). RNAcentral describes it as "partial small subunit ribosomal RNA". The record is from RNAcentral. Lineage: Eukaryota; Viridiplantae; Streptophyta; Magnoliopsida; Poales; Poaceae.
AUGCUCGACUUGUCUGGUAAUCAUCUCACUGGUAAGAUUCCAGCUGCAUUGAACAAUCUGCACUUCCUUUCCAGAUUCAACAUUUCUAAUAAUGACCUAGAAGGCCCUAUUCCAAACAUGGGCCAGUUCAGCACGUUUCCGGAUUCUAGCUUUGGUGGAAACCCAAAACUGUGUGGCCCUAUGGUUGCAAACCAUUGUGGUUCGGCAGAAGCAAGUCCAGUUUCCAUUGACCCUAUAAAACAGAUUGGUAGUGAGGCCAUCAUCUUUAUGACCUCCUUCGGUGUUUUCUUUGGAGUAGGAGUCCUAUAUGAUCAGAAAGUCUUAGCUAGACAUUUUGGCUGA